Molecule: ribosomal RNA, 253 nt
Filed under: uncultured bacterium
Lineage: Bacteria
Description: partial 16S ribosomal RNA
Rfam family: Bacterial small subunit ribosomal RNA
Source: RNAcentral
UACGGGGGGGGUAAGCGUUGUUCGGAAUUACUGGGCGUAAAGGGCUCGUAGGCGGCCAACUAAGUCGGACGUGAAAUCCCUCAGCUUAACUGGGGAACUGCGUCCGAUACUGGAUGGCUUGGAUUUGGGAGAGGGAUGCGGAAUUCCAGGUGUAGCGGUGAAAUGCGCAGAUAUCAGGAGGAACACCAAUUGCGAAGGCAGCUCGCUGGGACGUUACUGACGCUGAGACGCGAAAGCGUGGGGAGCAAACAGG